AGAGUUUGAUCCUGGCUCAGGAUGAACGCUAGCUACAGGCUUAACACAUGCAAGUCGAGGGGAAACGAUAGAGAAAGCUUGCUUUUUCUAGGCGUCGACCGGCGCACGGGUGAGUAACGCGUAUCCAACCUGCCCAUCACUUGGGGAUAACCUUGCGAAAGUAAGACUAAUACCCAAUGACGUCUCUAGAAGACAUCUGAAAGAGAUUAAAGAUUUAUCGGUGAUGGAUGGGGAUGCGUCUGAUUAGCUUGUUGGCGGGGUAACGGCCCACCAAGGCGACGAUCAGUAGGGGUUCUGAGAGGAAGGUCCCCCACAUUGGAACUGAGACACGGUCCAAACUCCUACAGGAGGCAGCAGUGAGGAAUAUUGGUCAAUGGGCGAGAGUCUGAACCAGCCAAGUAGCGUGCAGGAUGACGGCCCUAUGGGUUGUAAACUGCUUUUAUAAGGGAAUAAAGUGAGUCUCGUGAGACUUUUUGCAUGUACCUUAUGAAUAAGGACCGGCUAAUUCCGUGCCAGCAGCCGCGGUAAUACGGAAGGUCCGGGCGUUAUCCGGAUUUAUUGGGUUUAAAGGGAGCGUAGGCCGGAGAUUAAGCGUGUUGUGAAAUGUAGACGCUCAACGUCUGCACUGCAGCGCGAACUAGUUUCCUUGAGUACGCACAAAGUGGGCGGAAUUCGUGGUGUAGCGGUGAAAUGCUUAGAUAUCACGAAGAACUCCGAUUGCGAAGGCAGCUCACUGGAGCGCAACUGACGCUGAAGCUCGAAAGUGCGGGUAUCGAACAGGAUUAGAUACCCUGGUAGUCCGCACGGUAAACGAUGGAUGCCCGCUGUUGGUCUGAAUAGGUCAGCGGCCAAGCGAAAGCAUUAAGCAUCCCACCUGGGGAGUACGCCGGCAACGGUGAAACUCAAAGGAAUUGACG
RNAcentral lists this ribosomal RNA (917 nucleotides) under uncultured bacterium. Its description in RNAcentral is "bacterial SSU rRNA". It matches the Rfam family "Bacterial small subunit ribosomal RNA", at positions 8 to 915 of the family's 1533-position model. The record is from RNAcentral.